RNAcentral lists this long non-coding RNA (319 nucleotides) under Mus caroli (Ryukyu mouse). RNAcentral describes it as "predicted gene 12325 (MGP_CAROLIEiJ_G0004765.1)". The record is from RNAcentral. Lineage: Eukaryota; Metazoa; Chordata; Mammalia; Rodentia; Muridae.
AACUGCGUUGCAUGGUGCUCUGGCUCCCUUCAUUUUUCAUCCAUGUAGGAUGCACUGAUCUUUGCAGGAGCAUCCUCUGGGCCUCCAGAGAAGACUAAGCUGCCAACAUUUCAUGGAGUAAUUAAAUGACAAAUACCUGCAGGCUCUCAACUGGAAAGCUUGUAGCAGAACAGCCUUUCCAUAUUCAUAGGACUUAAUCAAAUCUGAAAGCACAGAGGCCCUUCUCAGCCUUUGUCCUAAGGGUCUAACUAAUAGGACUGCCAUACUUCCACAAGGAGCCAAAGCCAGAAGUUGGUCUUGCUGAUUGACAUAUUUUCCA